ACAAAAAAUCUUCAACAUAAUCUGGAAGUACGUGAGACUGAGAAGCGAACCUGUCAUCCAACUGAGUCAGGUCGCAUACCUGCAAGGAGCGUGGUAGAAGGGAUAUCCAGGUUGAGGUGAUCUCACGUUCGUCAAAUGAGAUCACCGAGUGGCUUGCACACCUGGAAUGGAAGUCAGACCCACAAAGAAGUACUCAGCAGAACCCCAGACAAGCGCCCCAGGUGAGGAAU
Syngnathus acus (greater pipefish) is the source of this 230-nucleotide long non-coding RNA. RefSeq lists it as uncharacterized. The transcript is spliced from 3 exons. NCBI's taxonomy places the organism in Eukaryota, Metazoa, Chordata, Actinopteri, Syngnathiformes, Syngnathidae. The record is from RefSeq and is a predicted model, not a curated record.